UGGGGAAUAUUGCACAAUGGGCGAAAGCCUGAUGCAGCGACGCCGCGUGAGGGAUGACGGCCUUCGGGUUGUAAACCUCUUUCAGCAGGGAAGAAGCGAAAGUGACGGUACCUGCAGAAGAAGCGCCGGCUAACUACGUGCCAGCAGCCGCGGUAAUACGUAGGGCGCAAGCGUUGUCCGGAAUUAUUGGGCGUAAAGAGCUCGUAGGCGGUUAGUCGCGUCUGCUGUGAAAACUCGAGGCUCAACCUCGGGCUUGCAGUGGGUACGGGCUGACUAGAGUGCGGUAGGGGUGACUGGAAUUCCUGGUGUAGCGGUGGAAUGCGCAGAUAUCAGGAGGAACACCGAUGGCGAGGGCAGGUCACUGGGCCGCAACUGACGCUGAGGGGCGAAAGCAUGGGGAGCGAACAGGAUUAGAUACCCUGGUAGUCCAUGCCGUAAACGUUGGGCACUAGGUGUGGGGUCCAUUCCACGGAUUCCGUGCCGCAGCAAACGCAUUAAGUCGCCCCCGCUGGGGAGUACGGCCGCAAGGCUAAAACUCAAAGGAAUUGACGGGGUCAUAGCUGUUUCCU
This 569-nucleotide ribosomal RNA is filed under the name uncultured bacterium. RNAcentral describes it as "partial 16S ribosomal RNA". It matches the Rfam family "Bacterial small subunit ribosomal RNA", at positions 355 to 1375 of the family's 1533-position model. The record is from RNAcentral.